Molecule: ribosomal RNA, 315 nt
Filed under: uncultured eukaryote
Lineage: Eukaryota
Description: partial 18S ribosomal RNA
Rfam family: Eukaryotic small subunit ribosomal RNA
Source: RNAcentral
CCCUUAGACGUUCUGGGCCGCACGCGCGCUACACUGACCAGUGCAACAAGCAUCCGUCCUUGGCCGACAGGCCCGGGCAAUCUUUGAACGCUGGUCGUGAUGGGGAUAGACUUUUGCAAUUUUUGGUCUUCAACGAGGAAUUCCUAGUAAACGCAAGUCAUCAACUUGCAUUGACUACGUCCCUGCCCUUUGUACACACCGCCCGUCGCACCUACCGAUUGAAUGGUCCGGUGAAGCCUCCGGAUUGGCGCGCACCUCGGUGCCGCCGAGAAGUUGGCUAAACCUUACCAUUUAGAGGAAGGUGAANUCGUAACA